This 497-nucleotide ribosomal RNA is filed under the name uncultured bacterium. Its description in RNAcentral is "partial 16S ribosomal RNA". It matches the Rfam family "Bacterial small subunit ribosomal RNA", at positions 28 to 507 of the family's 1533-position model. The record is from RNAcentral.
GAUGAACGCUGGCGGCGUGCCUAAUACAUGCAAGUCGAGCGAACGGACGAGAAGCUUGCUCCUCUGACGUUAGCGGCGGACGGGUGAGUAACACGUGGAUAACCUACCUAUAAGACUGGGAUAACUUCGGGAAACCGUAGCUAAUACCGGAUAAUAUAUUGAACCGCAUGGUUCAAUAGUGAAAGACGGUCUUGCUGUCACUUAUAGAUGGAUCCGCGCUGCAUUAGCUAGUUGGUAAGGUAACGGCUUACCAAGGCAACGAUGCGUAGCCGACCUGAGAGGGUGAUCGGCCACACUGGAACUGAGACACGGUCCAGACUCCUACGGGAGGCAGCAGUAGGGAAUCUUCCGCAAUGGGCGAAAGCCUGACGGAGCAACGCCGCGUGAGUGAUGAAGGUCUUCGGAUCGUAAAACUCUGUUAUUAGGGAAGAACAAAUGUGUAAGUAACUAUGCACAUCUUGACGGUACCUAAUCAGAAAGCCACGGCUAACUACGUG